UUCAAAUAAUCUCAAAAGAAUUUGAUUUGGAUCAUAAGAAAGUGAUUCGAAGUAAGUCAUUUACAGCUGCAAGAAUGUGGUGUUUUAAUUAUUUCUACCUUCGUGUGUUUUAUUUCAUCUUCUAAAAGAAUGUACCUUUGCUAUGCUUUUUGUUUGGUCAUGAUAAGAUCAUUUUUGACUGAGAUGCAGCCUAUCGAAAAUCACAAAAAAAAUCACGAAAUCUGCAAGUGUACCCAAAAAACAGUUGCUCCAAUACAUUAUCCAAGAUUCGUAGGAAACUUUUGCAUAAAUUGACAAUCAAGAGUGAGCGACAUAAGACAUCUGAAUUGUUUGUCCCAUCAUCAUCGGCGCCAUGCAAAUUACUAUAGCUAUUUGUGGGAAGGGAGAGAGGAGGAAGGACAUCUGAGCCAGAGGAAAGGAAGAAAACAUCUUAUCAAGCUUCUUUUAUGGAGCACGACGGCGAUGAAAAAUGAAUAAAAAUCAACCAUUCAAUGGUUAUAAUAUGGUGGAGGAUAUUAUGCAAUAUUGUAAAACCAUUGGAUUUGGAGCAAAAGACAGUGGAAAUCCCUAUAAUGGAGCACUUGGUCUUAUUUCACUUUCCUUCUAUAGUCAACACAAACAACAGGAACUGACAUAAUGGAUGAUAGGUAGAAUUAUGCUGCCAAUUAGUUUUUACAGCUAUAUAACGUAAAAUGCUAAUAAAUAAGAUUCAUUAAU
Episyrphus balteatus (marmalade hoverfly) is the source of this 717-nucleotide long non-coding RNA. RefSeq lists it as uncharacterized. The record is from RefSeq and is a predicted model, not a curated record. The transcript has 2 exons. NCBI's taxonomy places the organism in Eukaryota, Metazoa, Arthropoda, Insecta, Diptera, Syrphidae.